UCCUGAUGCUCGGUUUGAACCUAUGUUUGGCUAACAUUUGUGUUAACGAGCAGCUGAACAGGCGUGCCUAAUGAAGUGGCUGGACAGAGUAUACAAAAGAAAAUCAUCAAGGAGUGCUGACGUGUAUGGCUUGUAACCCUUCGUUUAGGUAGCCGCUCAGCUCUCUCUGCCCUGCUCUUCAUGUCACUGACACUAUGCAUUCAACCUGCUAAUGUGUGCUAAAUGACAAAGAGCCAACAGCAAAGCCUGCCCUUGCCCCAUCUUUCUGUUGUUGCAAGGGCCUGUCACCUCAUCACCAACACCAGCCUGUUAAACUCACUGCAGGCAGGCUGCACAGCUCUGAGUUUGGAGUACAGCGUGGGAGCUACACACACACAAAGCAGUGCUGGUGAGAAGAGGUUCUCGUAGUGUGAAGGGGGAAAACGAAGAGAAAUCAGCUGCUGACAUGGUUUCCGAGGCAGAAAACGUUGUUACGGCCAGGCAGCUGUCAGGUCUUAUCCCUGCUUCUUUUACUGUGCUGUCUGUGGGAACUGGCUGACCAUUUACUGCCACCAUGUGACAAUUCAGACUCCCUGCAGAGGUCAAUAAGGUAUCUCCCAGACAUGUGAGACAAAGCUUGUUUUAUUUUGGCAACCUAAUUCUAAUGCUUUUCACUACAGUCUUUAUCAGGCCUGGGGAAAAUCUGGGUCAUGUUAAUGAGGUUUGCAAAUGUUUUUUAUUACGAUAUUUUUAUGAAUUAAAUAAUCAGCUUGGACAGUUUUCCGUACUGAAUGUUAGGAUUGGAACUGUUGUGACAAUGUGUAAAUGUGCUUCUGGCGUGGACUAUUAAAAGUAAGUUCGUUUACAAGGAUGUUUGAUCUCUGUGCACACAUUUUUUGGUUAGUUGUGGCUUACGCAACAAAUAGUAGGGGAAGUCAUGACCUCUUGUGUGAUAUGGCUCGCUCAUCACGCGCAGGCCUUAUUCAUAA
Long non-coding RNA from Oreochromis aureus, 968 nucleotides. The record is from Ensembl. NCBI's taxonomy places the organism in Eukaryota, Metazoa, Chordata, Actinopteri, Cichliformes, Cichlidae.